RNAcentral lists this small nucleolar RNA (107 nucleotides) under Theobroma cacao (cacao). RNAcentral's name for it is "Plant small nucleolar RNA R71". It matches the Rfam family "Plant small nucleolar RNA R71". Rfam says of the family: R71 is a member of the C/D box family of snoRNAs containing the C (UGAUGA) and D (CUGA) box motifs. Multiple nearly identical copies of this snoRNA have been identified in Arabidopsis, and it is thought to function as a 2'-O-ribose methylation guide for 18S ribosomal RNA. Lineage: Eukaryota; Viridiplantae; Streptophyta; Magnoliopsida; Malvales; Malvaceae. The record is from Rfam by way of RNAcentral.
AUCCCAUGAUGUGGACAUCAUUUAAGUAAUUCCUUAACUCCCUCCUAAGCUUCAUACAAGGAUUCACCAUUAACUUGUGUGAAUGAGGUUAUAUCAUUCCUCAUCUU